GGAUUCGCAAUUCGCGAGCGGAGCCGACCGCUUCCGACUGCGGCGGAUCCAGGCUGGGGCCAGCGCGGCGUCCCCGCCAGACAACCGCUGCCUGCCUAUUGGGCUCGGCUCAGGUGGUUUUAUCUGUUUCUAAUGUAUUCUGGGUACGGCGGCGUCCUGAUCAGAAUCUUAGAGAAAGGCGAGGGAAGGAAAUGCACUCCCUGCUCCACCCCUUUGCAGACCUCAAUAAUAGGACAGAAAUGUGGACAAGGUCAAGGCAGAUCCAGUAACACUGACAUCCAUGCUUGGGGGAUUUCACUUGGUUCUGAAGAGAAUGCCCCAGGGCCUUGGAGCCCAGUCCCCGGAGCAGAAGACUGAAGCACAUAGGAAAAUGGAAGACAGAAGAGAGGAACGGACAGGGCAGAGUUAGCGCUCCCACCGAGUGACUCCAAAGGAUUCCUAGAAAAGAUGCAGCUUUCAAAGGCGACUGCAGUGAGGAGUAUCUGUGAACAAUUUCAAGAAUCACUUCUGAAGAAAUACCAGUACAGAAAUUAUUAUGAUUUGCAAUCACACCUGUGUGUACUGAACAACAUGACCUGUGAAAUCCUGCAGUAUAUUAUAGAAGAAGCACAUAAGGAGUGAUAUGGCACAUUCUCAAUUGAGGAUAACUUAUGAAAAACAUUUUAUCCAUUGGACACCUCUUCUUUUUUUUUUGAUAAUUUUCAUACAGUCUUAAUCUAGGUUAUCCAUUUCAGUCAUGUAGUUUGAGAGCAUAAAUAUAGCAAUCACAAAACCAAAAGUAUGUUCAAUACUUUGAAAUUAUUAUUGCUAAUUUUCUUGAUCAUUUUCUAAAUAAUGGAUAAUUAAAUAUUUUCAAGUAUCCACUAUACUUUGUACAAAACUGUACAAAAACAGUGAAAUAUAAUCCUUUGCAUAUACACUCACAUAUACACACUCAUAUUUAUAAAUAUCAAAUGGCAAUGAAUGAUGAAAUAUAAAAACACAAGGACAAAGUCCAUUCCUUUGAUAAAAUAGUAUUUCCAAUUUUACAAUGUAUUCCAGCUACCUGUGGUCAUGUACACCUGUAAUCCCAGUACUCAGAAGGCUGAGGCAGGAAGCUCACCAUGAGUUCAAGGGGAGCAUGGGCUACAUAGUGAGUUCAAGGCCAGCCUGAACUACAUAACAAGACCCUACCUUAAAAACAUAUUCAAAUCAAAUCAAAUGCAUUCCAUAGUGGUUUUACUAAUAUACAUUUCCACCUACAGUGUAGCAGGGUUCUUUUGUCCCCACAGCUUUGCCAGUACCAACUAUUUGUUAUUGAUUGUUUGAUGAUAGCCGUUCUUUCAGGAGUGAAAUGAAAUCUCAGUGUUGUCAUUUGCAUUUCUCUAAUGAUCAGUGAUGUUGAACAUUUAUGCGUUUUAUUGGCCAUUUAUGCUUCAUGUAAGAAGUGUCUAUUCAUUUCAGAUGUCCAUCUUUUGAUUGGGUCUUUUAUUUUGGGGGCUCUAAUUUUUUUGAGUUCUUUAUAUGUUAUAAAUGGAGAACUAAAAAAAAAAAACUAAAGUAGAAAUUCCAUCUGAUCCAGCUAUGUGUCUUCUCACAAGAGUGAAAGAUGUCAUAUUGCAGUGAUAUGCAUUAAUAUGUUUAUAGCAGCACAAAUUAUAAUAGCUAAAUCUUGAAUGUUAUAUGUUCAUGAACAGAUGAAUGGUUAAAAACGAUGUGAUAUUUAUAUACAUAAUGAAGUAAUUUUCUGCCAUGAAGAAGGAUAAAACUUGAGUAAUUUGUAGGAAAAUGGAUGCACUUUGAGACCAUAAUGUUAACCAAAAUGAAUCAGACACACAAGCUUAGAUAUUGCAUGAUUUCUCUUAUAUGUGA
Molecule: long non-coding RNA, 1851 nt
Filed under: Heterocephalus glaber (naked mole-rat)
Lineage: Eukaryota; Metazoa; Chordata; Mammalia; Rodentia; Bathyergidae
Description: lncRNA (ENSHGLG00100030444.2)
Source: RNAcentral